AACCUGCCUUAUACAGGGGGAUAACAGUUAGAAAUGACUGCUAAUACCGCAUAAGCGCACAGUACCGCAUGGUAGUGUGUGAAAAACUCCGGUGGUAUAAGAUGGACCCGCGUCUGAUUAGCCAGUUGGCGGGGUAACGGCCCACCAAAGCGACGAUCAGUAGCCGACCUGAGAGGGUGACCGGCCACAUUGGGACUGAGACACGGCCCAAACUCCUACGGGAGGCAGCAGUGGGGAAUAUUGCACAAUGGGGGAAACCCUGAUGCAGCAACGCCGCGUGAGUGAAGAAGUAUUUCGGUAUGUAAAGCUCUAUCAGCAGGGAAGAAGAUGACGGUACCUGAUUAAGAAGCCCCGGCUAACUACGUGCCAGCAGCCGCGGUAAUACGUAGGGGGCAAGCGUUAUCCGGAUUUACUGGGUGUAAAGGGAGCGCAGACGGCAGUGCAAGUCUGGAGUGAAAGCCCGGGGCCCAACCCCGGAACUGCUCUGGAAACUGUGCGGCUAGAGUACUGGAGGGGCAGGCGGAAUUCCUAGUGUAGCGGUGAAAUGCGUAGAUAUUAGGAGGAACACCAGUGGCGAAGGCGGCCUGCUGGACAGUAACUGACGUUGAGGCUCGAAAGCGUGGGGAGCAAA
This 631-nucleotide ribosomal RNA is filed under the name uncultured bacterium. RNAcentral describes it as "bacterial SSU rRNA". It matches the Rfam family "Bacterial small subunit ribosomal RNA", at positions 123 to 772 of the family's 1533-position model. The record is from RNAcentral.